CAUUUCCCUGUAAUUCAGCAGGACAUAUUUGGUAUCUUUGGAAACUUUGGGAUCUCCAGUCACAUUUAAAAUUAAGUUUUGUGGGAUUGAACAAAGCUCACGCAGUGUAUAUUUGUAAUCA
This is a long non-coding RNA of Myripristis murdjan (pinecone soldierfish), 121 nucleotides long. RefSeq lists it as uncharacterized. The record is from RefSeq and is a predicted model, not a curated record. NCBI's taxonomy places the organism in Eukaryota, Metazoa, Chordata, Actinopteri, Holocentriformes, Holocentridae. The transcript has 3 exons.